UCUUGAUUUCGACUAAGAAUACAAUCAAGAAGUAUUCGGAGGUUCUUGAGUUCGACUAAGAAUACAAUCGCAAAUACUACACGAAGUCAAGAAGAAUUCGGAGGUUCUUGAUUUCGACUAAGAAUAUAAUCGUAAAUACUACACGAAGUCAAGAAGUAUUCGGGGGUUCUUGAGUUCGACUAAGAAUACAA
Lucilia cuprina (Australian sheep blowfly) is the source of this 191-nucleotide long non-coding RNA. RefSeq lists it as uncharacterized. The transcript is spliced from 2 exons. The record is from RefSeq and is a predicted model, not a curated record. Lineage: Eukaryota; Metazoa; Arthropoda; Insecta; Diptera; Calliphoridae.